AGAGUGUAGCUAAGACAGCUAAAGCAUCUCCCUUACACUGAGAAGUCACCCGUGCAAAUCGGGUCACCCUGA
RNAcentral lists this transfer RNA (72 nucleotides) under Mene maculata. RNAcentral describes it as "tRNA-Val". It matches the Rfam family "tRNA". From Rfam's summary of the family: Transfer RNA (tRNA) molecules are approximately 80 nucleotides in length. Their secondary structure includes four short double-helical elements and three loops (D, anti-codon, and T loops). Further hydrogen bonds mediate the characteristic L-shaped molecular structure. tRNAs have two regions of fundamental functional importance: the anti-codon, which is responsible for specific mRNA codon recognition, and the 3' end, to which the tRNAs corresponding amino acid is attached (by aminoacyl-tRNA synthetases). tRNAs cope with the degeneracy of the genetic code in two manners: having more than one tRNA (with a specific anti-codon) for a particular amino acid; and 'wobble' base-pairing, i.e. permitting non-standard base-pairing at the 3rd anti-codon position. The record is from RNAcentral. Lineage: Eukaryota; Metazoa; Chordata; Actinopteri; Menidae.